GUGCUCUCUUAGGCAGCACAUAUACUAGAAUUGGAAGGAUACAGAGAAGAUCAGCAUGGCCCCUGUACAAGGAUAACAAGCAAAUUCGUGAAGCAUUCCAUAUUUUU
Molecule: small nuclear RNA, 107 nt
Organism: Callithrix jacchus (white-tufted-ear marmoset)
Lineage: Eukaryota; Metazoa; Chordata; Mammalia; Primates; Cebidae
Source: Ensembl